AUAUUAUUAAGCGGAGGAAAAGAAACUAACAAGGAUUCCCUGAGUAAUGGCGAUUGAAAAGGGAAAAGCUCAAGAUUGAAUCGGGUGUCCCUCUGCGGGCAUUUCGAGUUGAAAAAGGUGUCAUAGUAGGUGAUAACCCAUCUAUGAACUGGUGUUUGCGUGUAUCCUUCAUGUUGUUCCCGAGUAAGUCCUGCUCGAAGACGGGUGGUAAUCAUCAUCCAAAGCUAAAUACAAGCCAGAGACCGAUAGCGCACAAGUA
Molecule: ribosomal RNA, 259 nt
Filed under: uncultured eukaryote
Lineage: Eukaryota
Description: partial large subunit ribosomal RNA
Rfam family: Eukaryotic large subunit ribosomal RNA
Source: RNAcentral